CCAGCAUUCUCAGAGCAAGCAAAAGCAAACUUACAAAGAAACAUCUGAGAAGGCAGGUGAAGGACCUUUGGGGCACUUAAUGUGGGAGGACAACUGGGAAAUGCAGCCCGGAACUCAAGACACGGCAACAGUAAUGCCUACUCCGGGGCCAGAAUGCACCGGCAACAGCAAUGGUCAACAGCGACCACAUAAACAACUGUCUCAAAUCAUUGUCGGCACCAGCAGACUUCAGCAGAGGUGGAUCCCAUUAGAGCCUGGCUGACCCUGGGACCGGAGAGCAAGCCACCAGGAUUUGCUCUCAACGGCGAGCAACUUCAGACCACGUCUCUGUGCUUAACUCUUAGAAACAUGAAGCUGAGUUUCUGCAGAGUCCAUCAUCCAUGGGCCCAACACCUUCCUUCUUCCUGAUGUAGCUAGCUCCAUCUUCCCCAUGGCAUCAGUUAUCUCUCUCGUGUAUCAAACCGAAGUUAUUUCUGUGUGCCUCUUGAGAUUGUCUUAAUAAAUGAUUCACGGGUUUGACACACUGGAGAUGAACUUCUCACACACCCUGUUCAUGCAGGAGGAUUAAGACAAAGACCACUGUGUUGCCUACUGCAGGCGGGAGUUUUGUUUUUGUUUUUCUCAGAAAGAGGCCUCCCAAUGUCUUGUACAUACACAGAAAUGACUGGGAUGUCCCUAGCAGAUCAGAAGUGCGGUCAUGACAGAUUUAAAGGCACCUACAAAGUAUAAUUCACUACCUCACCACCAUGAACAUGAAUUCUCACAGCACGUUACAGUUCUAACGUGUUCAUGGUCAUGAGGCCACCACAGACAGAGCAGCAAGUGUGGUAGGUAAUGACUCCCUUAUCCACAAGGCGCCCAAGACAGCAGAG
Molecule: long non-coding RNA, 872 nt
Filed under: Cricetulus griseus (Chinese hamster)
Lineage: Eukaryota; Metazoa; Chordata; Mammalia; Rodentia; Cricetidae
Description: lncRNA (ENSCGRG00015037050.1)
Source: RNAcentral